This 405-nucleotide ribosomal RNA is filed under the name uncultured bacterium. RNAcentral describes it as "partial 16S ribosomal RNA". It matches the Rfam family "Bacterial small subunit ribosomal RNA", at positions 30 to 526 of the family's 1533-position model. The record is from RNAcentral.
AUUGAACGCUAGCGGGAUGCUUUACACAUGCAAGUCGAACGAGUGGCGGACUGGUGAGUAAUAUAUUGGAACGUGCCCAAUGGCGGGGGAUAACUACUCGAAAGUGUGGCUAAUACCGCUUACUAUCGGAGCGGCUGAUAUCGGAUUAGCUAGUUGGUGGGGUAAAGGCUCACCACGGGAACGAUCCGUAGCUGGUCUGAGAGGACGACAAUCCACACUGGGAUUGAGACACGGCCCAGAACACUACGGGAGGCAGCAGUGGGGAAUAUUGGACAAUGGGGGAAACCCUGAGCCAGCCAUCCCGCGUGUAUGAGAAGGCCUUCGGGUGGUAAAGUACUUUUGGCAGGGAAGCGGUAUCUGCAGAAUAAGCACCGGCUAACUACGUGCCAGCAGCCGCGGUAAUAC